CACAAUUUUAUAUAAAAAAUAUGCCACAAAGCAACAAUUCACAAUAACAAUAAUUCUAUUAUGCAUUAACCAAAUAUAUAAACAAGAAAAUCCAUAACUGAAAUAUUGCAUUCUCAUCUAUUGUUUUCCCUUCUACAGAGUGUAUUUGUAGAGUAGAUUAAAGAAAUGUCCCAUUAUUAUGUAGAAAAGUAAAGUGCAUCGUUAUUACAAGCUCUUUGAUUGGAGAUUUCUAAUUUAUGAAUAAAUUAAUGUAACCGUGGAGACAAUAGUCUGCUGAAGACAAUAAUGAUGCACUUCGUAAUCAAUCAUGCUCUGACAACAUAUUUUGUCCUCUAUAUACUUCAUUACAUUCACCAUAUUACAUCAUCAAAACUUCUAAACAUUUUUCCAUGAAGUUCCAAAGAAAAAUUAUUCUAUAUUCCAACAAGAAAACUAUAUCCAUUUUAAAUUGUUGAAAAGUUUUGAACCUAAGGAGUAAAUUUUUCUCCUGUUAUAAAUGUUCAAAAAAGGCAAACUCAAUAAUGCUGACAAUUGAUAUAUAAUGCAUUAUCCUUAGAAAUAAAAUAAACAACAAACUGGUUAAAAUAUCAAACAAAGUUAAGUUUAACUUACUCUUGAAAAACAGGACAGACUAGUCAUUUGUACAGAUGUAUUUUGAUAUUUUGCUCAUAUCUCUUUGGGAUUUUGCUUUACUAUCAGAUGUAAUUAUUUUUUACAUUAGGAAAUGUAACCAAGAUUUUUUUUUAACUGGAUUAAGAAUUUUAGAAUAAUCUGAAUAUGGAGGUUCAUAUUUAGGUUACUUUCUCUUGUAUUUCAGUAUGAACUGAUUGACAACCUUAACCAGAUGCUCCGCAGGGCGCAGCUUUAUACGACCGCAGAGGUUGAACCCUGAACGGUUGGGGCAAGUAUGGACACAACAUUCAAGCUGGAUUCAGCUCUAAAUUUGGAUUGUGAUUAAAUAGUUGACACAGCAUAGGUUUCUGACACAGAAUGAAUGUGGUCUAAUGAACUUAAAAAAAAAUAUGUUUGCCUUUGAACAAUUCACUAUGCUGUUGAAUAUUAAUCCUCUCAAAAAAAUGUUUGAAGAAAUUUUCUUUUUAUUUAUGAAAUCUGAAAUGAAAAAAAUUGACCCCCCCAAUUUUUUUUUCACAUCCCCCUUUCCCUUAUUUCAAAACUGAUCUCAAUUCAAAUUUCUAAUGAAGUUUGCAACAAUAACUACUCAUUUAAAUACAUCAUAAAAUAUUAAAA
RNAcentral lists this long non-coding RNA (1248 nucleotides) under Mytilus galloprovincialis (Mediterranean mussel). Lineage: Eukaryota; Metazoa; Mollusca; Bivalvia; Mytilida; Mytilidae. The record is from RNAcentral.